RNAcentral lists this ribosomal RNA (1275 nucleotides) under metagenome. RNAcentral's name for it is "bacterial SSU rRNA". It matches the Rfam family "Bacterial small subunit ribosomal RNA", at positions 31 to 1290 of the family's 1533-position model. The record is from RNAcentral.
GAACGCUGGCGGCGUGUCUUAAGCAUGCAAGUCGUGCGGCAAGGCGGGGCAACCCGCCCUAGAGCGGCGGACUGGUGAGUAACGCGUGGGUGAUCUGCCCUUGGGAUGGGGAUAGCCAUUAGAAAUAGUGGGUAAUACCGAAUACGUUCGUCGCUUCAGUGCGACGAGGAAAAGCGCUUCGGCGCUGCCCGAGGAUGAGCCCGCGUCCCAUUAGUUAGUUGGUGGGGUAACGGCCCACCAAGGCUAGGACGGGUAGCUGGUCUGAGAGGACGACCAGCCACACUGGAACUGAGACACGGUCCAGACACCUACGGGUGGCAGCAGUCGAGAAUUUUUCACAAUGGGCGCAAGCCUGAUGGAGCGACGCCGCGUGGGGGAUGAAUGGCUUCGGCCCGUAAACCCCUGUCAUUUGUGACCAAACUGCGUUGUUUAAGAGACGGCGCACUGAUGGUAGCGAAAGAGGAAGGGACGGCUAACUCUGUGCCAGCAGCCGCGGUAAUACAGAGGUCCCGAGCGUUGUUCGGAUUCACUGGGCGUAAAGGGUGCGUAGGUGGUGGGGUAAGUCGGAUGUGAAAGCUCGGAGCUCAACUCCGAAAUGGCAUUGGAAACUGCCCUGCUCGAGGGUCGGAGGGGGGACUGGAAUUCUCGGUGUAGCAGUGAAAUGCGUAGAUAUCGAGAGGAACACCCGUGGCGAAGGCGAGUCCCUGGACGACACCUGACACUGAGGCACGAAAGCUAGGGGAGCAAACAGGAUUAGAUACCCUGGUAGUCCUGGCCGUAAACGGUGCACGUUUGCUGUAAGAGGAAUCGACCCCUUUUGUGGCGAAGCCAACGCGAUAAACGUGCCGCCUGGGAAGUACGGUCGCAAGGUUAAAACUCAAAGAAAUUGACGGGGGCCUGCACAAGCGGUGGAGUAUGUGGCUCAAUUCGAUGCAACGCGAAGAACCUUACCUGGCCUUGACAUGCACGUAGUAGGAGGGUGAAAGCCCGACGAGGUAGCAAUACCCGCGUGCACAGGUGCUGCAUGGCUGUCGUCAGCUCGUGUCGUGAGAUGUUGGGUUAAGUCCCGCAACGAGCGCAACCCUUGUGUCCUGUUGCGAUCCUGACGAGAGUUGGGAGCACUCUGGACAGACUGCCUCGCUUAAACGAGGAGGAAGGUGAGGAUGACGUCAAGUCAGUAUGGCCCUUACGGCCAGGGCUGCACACGUACUACAAUGCCCGGCACAAAGGGAAGCUAGACCGCAAGGUGGAGCAAAUCCCCGAAAACUGGGCCCA